AGAUAGCAGUUGUAUGUUUCUUGGUUGUACUAGCUGUGGCCUAUGCCCAGCAGGAAGGCGGUCGACGAGAGGAAGGCGGUAGACGAGAGGAAGGUGGUAGACGAGAAGAAGGAGGUAGACGAGAGGAAGGUGGCAGACGAGAAGAAGGUGGUAGACGAGAGGAAGGAGGUAGACGAGAGGAAGGUCAACGAGAGGAAGGAGGUCGACGAGAGGAAGGUCAACGAGAGGAAGGUGGUAGACGAGAAGAAGGAGGUCGACGAGAGGAAGGUCAACGAGAGGAAGGUGGUAGACGAGAAGAAGGAGGUCGACGAGAGGAAGGUCAACGAGAGGAAGGUGGUAGACGAGAAGAAGGAGGUCGACGAGAGGAAGGAGGUCGACGAGAGGAAGGUCAACGAGAGGAAGGAGGUCGACGAGAGGAAGGUCAACGAGAGGAAGGAGGUCGACGAGAGGAAGGUGGUAGACGAGAGGAAGGUCAACGAGAAGAAGGUGGUAGACGAGAGGAAGGAGGUAGACGAGAGGAAGGUCAACGAGAGGAAGGAGGUAGACGAGAGGAAGGUGGUAGACGAGAGGAAGGUGGUCGACGUCAAUAAAUGUAAAUGUCUACAUACACCCCCAAAAGAACAUUUUAUAAUGCUAUUAAAUAAAUUGAUCUGAAUUUUA
This is a long non-coding RNA of Patella vulgata (common limpet), 660 nucleotides long. RefSeq lists it as uncharacterized. The transcript is spliced from 2 exons. The record is from RefSeq and is a predicted model, not a curated record. NCBI's taxonomy places the organism in Eukaryota, Metazoa, Mollusca, Gastropoda, Patellidae.